This 421-nucleotide ribosomal RNA is filed under the name uncultured bacterium. RNAcentral describes it as "bacterial SSU rRNA". It matches the Rfam family "Bacterial small subunit ribosomal RNA", at positions 355 to 773 of the family's 1533-position model. The record is from RNAcentral.
UAAGGAAUAUUGGUCAAUGGACGCAAGUCUGAACCAGCCAUGCCGCGUGGAGGAUGAAGGUCCUCUGGAUUGUAAACUUCUUUUAUCUGGGACGAAACACUUCUUUUCUAAGAGGCCUGACGGUACCAGAUGAAUAAGCACCGGCUAACUCCGUGCCAGCAGCCGCGGUAAUACGGAGGGUGCAAGCGUUAUCCGGAUUCACUGGGUUUAAAGGGUGCGUAGGUGGGUAUGUAAGUCAGUGGUGAAAUCCCCGAGCUUAACUUGGGAACUGCCAUUGAUACUAUAUAUCUUGAAUACCGUAGAGGUAAGCGGAAUAUGUCAUGUAGCGGUGAAAUGCUUAGAUAUGACAUGGAACACCAAUUGCGAAGGCAGCUUACUAUGCGGUGAUUGACACUGAGGCACGAAAGCGUGGGUAGCAAAC